Dipodomys ordii (Ord's kangaroo rat) is the source of this 105-nucleotide ribosomal RNA. NCBI's taxonomy places the organism in Eukaryota, Metazoa, Chordata, Mammalia, Rodentia, Heteromyidae. The record is from Ensembl.
GUCUAUAGCCAUACCACCCUGAAUGCACCCCAUCUCAUCUGAUCUCGGAAGCUAAGCAGGGUCGGGCCUGGUUAGUACUUGGAUGGGAGAAAAAAAAGGUUGACU